UACGGGGGGGGUAAGCGUUGUUCGGAAUUACUGGGCGUAAAGGGCUCGUAGGCGGCCAACUAAGUCGGACGUGAAAUCCCUCAGCUUAACUGGGGAACUGCGUCCGAUACUGGAUGGCUUGGAUUUGGGAGAGGGAUGUGGAAUUCCAGGUGUAGCGGUGAAAUGCGUAGAUAUCUGGAGGAACACCGGUGGCGAAGGCGGCAUCCUGGACCAACAUUGACGCUGAGGAGCGAAAGCUAGGGGAGCAAACGGG
This 253-nucleotide ribosomal RNA is filed under the name uncultured bacterium. RNAcentral's name for it is "partial 16S ribosomal RNA". It matches the Rfam family "Bacterial small subunit ribosomal RNA", at positions 524 to 776 of the family's 1533-position model. The record is from RNAcentral.